RNAcentral lists this ribosomal RNA (254 nucleotides) under uncultured bacterium. Its description in RNAcentral is "partial 16S ribosomal RNA". It matches the Rfam family "Bacterial small subunit ribosomal RNA", at positions 524 to 776 of the family's 1533-position model. The record is from RNAcentral.
UACGGAGGGAGCUAGCGUUAUUCGGAAUUACUGGGCGUAAAGCGCACGUAGGCGGCUUUGUAAGUUAGAGGUGAAAGCCUGGAGCUCAACUCCAGAAUUGCCUUUAAGACUGCAUCGCUUGAAUCCAGGAGAGGUGAGUGGAAUUCCGAGUGUAGAGGUGAAAUUCGUAGAUAUUCGGAAGAACACCAGUGGCGAAGGCGGCUCACUGGACUGGUAUUGACGCUGAGGUGCGAAAGCGUGGGGGAGCAAACAGG